This 576-nucleotide ribosomal RNA is filed under the name uncultured bacterium. RNAcentral's name for it is "bacterial SSU rRNA". It matches the Rfam family "Bacterial small subunit ribosomal RNA", at positions 102 to 674 of the family's 1533-position model. The record is from RNAcentral.
ACGGGUGAGUAAUACAUCGGAACGUAUCCUGGAGUGGGGGAUAGCCCGGCGAAAGCCGGAUUAAUACCGCAUACGCUCUGAGGAGGAAAGCGGGGGACCUUCGGGCCUCGCGCUCAAGGGGCGGCCGAUGGCGGAUUAGGUAGUUGGUGGGGUAAAGGCCUACCAAGCCGACGAUCCGUAGCUGGUCUGAGAGGACGACCAGCCACACUGGGACUGAGACACGGCCCAGACUCCUACGGGAGGCAGCAGUGGGGAAUUUUGGACAAUGGGGGCAACCCAGAUCCAGCAAUGCCGCGUGUGUGAAGAAGGCCUUCGGGUUGUAAAGCACUUUUGUCCGGAAAGAAAUCAUCGGGGCCAAUACCCCUGGUGGAUGACGGUACCGGAAGAAUAAGCACCGGCUAACUACGUGCCAGCAGCCGCGGUAAUACGUAGGGUGCGAGCGUUAAUCGGAAUUACUGGGCGUAAAGCGUGCGCAGGCGGUGCUGUAAGACCGAUGUGAAAUCCCCGGGCUUAACCUGGGAACUGCAUUGGUGACUGCAGCGCUGGAGUAUGGCAGAGGGGGGUGGAAUUCCACGU